GGGAACAAAAACAGAAGGGAAAAAAGAAAGAAUAUACAGAUGGACUGGAAUAUUUAGCAAAAAGAACAAAAAAGAAAAGAAGAAUAUACAGAUUUUGAGCUUGCCCCAUGUUGAAGGUGAAUAUAGGGGGGAGAGAGAGAGAGAGAGCCUUUAUGCACAAAUAAAUUGAAGCAUGUACUUGAACUGCAUGCAAUUUAUGGCUGUAAUGGUUGUCCAACUCGAGUGAUGUAAGGUCUUAUUCCAUAAUUAACACGUUAUUGCAUCAUUUUAAACAUUUAUAGCUUUU
Quercus lobata is the source of this 286-nucleotide long non-coding RNA. RefSeq lists it as uncharacterized. Lineage: Eukaryota; Viridiplantae; Streptophyta; Magnoliopsida; Fagales; Fagaceae. The record is from RefSeq and is a predicted model, not a curated record. The transcript is spliced from 2 exons.